Molecule: non-coding RNA, 126 nt
Organism: Triticum urartu
Lineage: Eukaryota; Viridiplantae; Streptophyta; Magnoliopsida; Poales; Poaceae
Source: Rfam
CUAUUAGUCCCUCCGCUCGAAAAAGCUUGUCCCAAGCUUGUCCCUCAAAUGGACGUAUCUAGCACUAACUUGAUGCUAGAUACAUCUAUUUGAGGGACAAACUUUUUCGGACGGAGGGAGUACAAC